UAGCUGCAGUAUUUUGACUGUACAAAGGUAGCAUAAUCAUUAGUCUUUUAAUUGAAGGCUGGUAUGAAUGGCUUGACGGAAAAUAUACUUUUUUAUUUUUAUUAAAUUGAAUUUAAUAUUUAAGUUAAAAAGCUUAAAUUUUUGAAAGGGACGAGAAGACCCUAUAGAAUUUUAUAAUUAAUUAUGAAAUUAAUAUUAUUUAAUUGGGGUGAUUGAAGAUUAACUUUUUUUUUUAUUUCAUUUUUUAUGAUUGCUUGAUCCUAAAUUUUAGAUAAAAAGAUAAAAUUACCUUAGGGAUAACAGCAUAAUUUUUUUUAAAAGAUCUUAUUAAUAAAAAAGAUUAUGACCUCGAUGUUGAAUUAAGAUAAUAUUUAGGUGUAGAAGUUUAAAUAUUUAGUCUGUUCGACUUGAAUUUUUACAUGAUUUGAGUUCAAACCGGCGUGAGCCAGGUUGGUUUCUAUCUUUUCAAAUUUU
This 474-nucleotide ribosomal RNA is filed under the name Euphyllura phillyreae. RNAcentral's name for it is "partial large subunit ribosomal RNA". It matches the Rfam family "Bacterial large subunit ribosomal RNA", at positions 1928 to 2654 of the family's 2925-position model. Lineage: Eukaryota; Metazoa; Arthropoda; Insecta; Hemiptera; Liviidae. The record is from RNAcentral.